UCUCUCUCUCACGUCUCACUUGGAAGAAAAGAAAAAGUCUCUCUCUCUUCUCUCACUUCUCUGUUACGAAAAAAAUUUCCUCUUCUUGAGUGAUUAGGGUUUAGAUUCUUGAAGGUUUUUUGUUGGAAAAAUUAUUAGAAAACUCAAGUAAUACAAUAGAUACAUACAUUCCUCCGUGGAGCACGAUUUAUUCUAUUUUAUGUGUCUUAUGCAAAAUGAUUUUAGAGGAGCAGUUCAGUUUUUUUUUUUUUUUUUUUUUUGGGAUCUUGGUGAUCUCGGUUGGUUCCUUUGUGGAACGUGACUUGCUGUAUAAUAAAAAUUUGAAUCUACGUGAUUCGAGAGUGGACAGUUUGGAGGGCAAAAAUCUGUGUUGGUUGAACUUUGUGAUCAAGAUUGAUUCAUGUGUGGAAUAGUGUUUGCUAUUGUUGUUCUAGCAUACAUAAGUCCUGUACUUGAUUCUUUGUUGUAAAUUGCUGGAACAUUAUUGUAACUUGCUCCCUAUUUUUGGGGCUUUAUAGUGUAAUCGAGCUUUAUCCAUUUUAAUAAAUGCUC
RNAcentral lists this long non-coding RNA (552 nucleotides) under Olea europaea (common olive). RNAcentral's name for it is "long non-coding RNA (OEUR_LNC014107)". The record is from RNAcentral. Lineage: Eukaryota; Viridiplantae; Streptophyta; Magnoliopsida; Lamiales; Oleaceae.